RNAcentral lists this ribosomal RNA (630 nucleotides) under Nocardioides sp. Ri1Pw_5505. RNAcentral describes it as "bacterial SSU rRNA". It matches the Rfam family "Bacterial small subunit ribosomal RNA", at positions 380 to 1020 of the family's 1533-position model. The record is from RNAcentral. Lineage: Bacteria; Bacillati; Actinomycetota; Actinomycetes; Propionibacteriales; Nocardioidaceae.
AGCCUGAUCCAGCACGCCGCGUGAGGGAUGACGGCCUUCGGGUUGUAAACCUCUUUCGGUGGGGACGAAGCGCAAGUGACGGUACCCACUAAAGAAGCACCGGCCAACUACGUGCCAGCAGCCGCGGUAAUACGUAGGGUGCGAGCGUUGUCCGGAAUUAUUGGGCGUAAAGGGCUCGUAGGCGGUUUGUCGCGUCGGGAGUGAAAACGCCGUGCUUAACACGGCGCUUGCUUUCGAUACGGGCAGACUAGAGGUAUUCAGGGGAGAACGGAAUUCCUGGUGUAGCGGUGAAAUGCGCAGAUAUCAGGAGGAACACCGGUGGCGAAGGCGGUUCUCUGGGAAUGACCUGACGCUGAGGAGCGAAAGUGUGGGGAGCGAACAGGAUUAGAUACCCUGGUAGUCCACACCGUAAACGUUGGGCGCUAGGUGUGGGGUCCAUUCCACGGAUUCCGUGCCGCAGCUAACGCAUUAAGCGCCCCGCCUGGGGAGUACGGCCGCAAGGCUAAAACUCAAAGGAAUUGACGGGGGCCCGCACAAGCGGCGGAGCAUGCGGAUUAAUUCGAUGCAACGCGAAGAACCUUACCUGGGUUUGACAUACACCCUGCCGCUCCAGAGAUGGGGCUUCUUUUG